CCUACGGGUGGCAGCAGUGGGGAAUAUUGCGCAAUGGGCGAAAGCCUGACGCAGCGACGCCGCGUGAGGGAUGAAGGUCUUCGGAUCGUAAACCUCUGUCAGCAGGGAAGAACGGUCACUGUGCUAAUCAGCCGUGAAUUGACGGUACCUGCAAAGGAAGCACCGGCUAACUCCGUGCCAGCAGCCGCGGUAAUACGGAGGGUGCGAUCGUUAAUCGGAAUUACUGGGCGUAAAGCGCUCGUAGGCGGUAUGUUAAGUCAAUGGUGAAAUCCCCGCGCUCAACGUGGGAACUGCCUUUGAAACUGGGAAACUAGAGUGUGUGAGAGGGUAGUGGAAUUCCAGGUGUAGGAGUG
RNAcentral lists this ribosomal RNA (353 nucleotides) under uncultured bacterium. RNAcentral's name for it is "partial 16S ribosomal RNA". It matches the Rfam family "Bacterial small subunit ribosomal RNA", at positions 338 to 683 of the family's 1533-position model. The record is from RNAcentral.